Long non-coding RNA from Mus musculus (house mouse), 236 nucleotides. RefSeq annotates it as predicted gene, 53187. NCBI's taxonomy places the organism in Eukaryota, Metazoa, Chordata, Mammalia, Rodentia, Muridae. The transcript has 3 exons. The record is from RefSeq and is a predicted model, not a curated record.
UUCACAAUGCAGGUAUUUGAAGGUGCAGCGUUUGGAAUACAUAGAUUACGAGAAGGAAAAGAAACAUUUCUGAAGCAUCUAUGUGUCCUAGAAGUAGAAUUUUUCAGAGGUGGCCCCUUCUUUGGAAUAGUCCAGUGGCACCUGAAGCAAGAUGAGAAAGAAGCUGAAACACAAGGUUCAUCUGCAUUAUAUAACACAGAAGAAGCAAUCUAAUACCGCUGUAGAAGUCAAGGGAA